ACACAUACUUUUCUCACACAUACUUUUCUGGUGACCUGCAAUAUUUUUGUUUGAAAAGGAACUCCAGCGGGUGAACUAUUGCUUCAAUGUUUUCCCCCUCACCCACAGUAGGCUCUCACCGAAUCUGUAGGAUCGGUUUUCAACUCCAUAACGAUUGCGUAUCGACACGUGUGACAUGCGGAAUCCGUACACGUGUGUAGACCAAACACGAGAACGUACUAAAUCUGUGAUUCUAUUCAAGAUCUGAACAAUCACGUGAAUCACCUUUUGCACUUUAUCUCUCUAGACUCUCUCUCUAGCUCCAAAGCUCUCCAAACUCAAAAUGUGGCAAAAGUUCCUAAAGCUAACCCUAAGGGUUCUAUUUAUAGGCCAAGGGGCUUAAUGAGAUUUCUCAUUAAUUACAUAAAUGCCACCUUGCCUUUUCCCUAAAUAUUACAACAUAAAUUCUUAUUUUCUUCA
Helianthus annuus (common sunflower) is the source of this 459-nucleotide long non-coding RNA. RefSeq lists it as uncharacterized. The transcript has 2 exons. NCBI's taxonomy places the organism in Eukaryota, Viridiplantae, Streptophyta, Magnoliopsida, Asterales, Asteraceae. The record is from RefSeq and is a predicted model, not a curated record.